CACACAAUAAUCCACAAACUCAUUUCCUGUAAAUUUUAAUGUAAUGGAAGGAUUUUGGAACCAUUUGAAGUUGUUUUUUACACAAAUUUCUAUCUUAGCCGCGGCUAUUCAGGAUGCACUGAGUGUACUGUGAGAGGAAGCAUGGGGUAUAUGUUAAAAAUCAGUUUUUGUGUGCAGAUUGAAAGAAACAAUAGAAAUGACACUUUAGAGUUAUGAUAUCAAUGAAAGGCACAAAUAUCCUCCCCAUUUACAUCACAUUUUGCACAUAUUUCUCCUCAUAAUAUAUAUAAAAUCAUAUGAAAAAAUGGAUUACCUCCCUUUGACAUAGUGAUUUUUUUUUUAGCUGUGUUCCCCAUGUUAAGUUGUAGAACAAGUGGUAAAUAAGCACUUUUCUAGUAUUUUAACACUCAAAUAAUCUGACCGCAUGAAGAUAUUCAUUUAUUUUCACAUAACGCAUUGCGAUUCUUUAUUUAAAAACUAUACUAGACAACUUUUCAUGAUUACAUGUCCUUCAUCUAGGAAACUAGUGUUGAAAUGUUUGUAAUUGGAUUUUUUGUUAAAUAAUUGCUUUUAAAUAUUCUAAAUUGUUACUUUAAU
RNAcentral lists this long non-coding RNA (597 nucleotides) under Mytilus galloprovincialis (Mediterranean mussel). The record is from RNAcentral. Lineage: Eukaryota; Metazoa; Mollusca; Bivalvia; Mytilida; Mytilidae.